GAAGAUAAAACUAAAAUCAGAAGGUCUCCAAGCAAACCCCUACCUGAAGUGACUGAUGAGUAUAAAAAUGAUGUAAAAAACAGAUCUGUUUAUAUUAAAGGCUUCCCAACUGAUGCAACUCUUGAUGACAUAAAAGAAUGGUUAGAAGAUAAAGGUCAAGUACUAAAUAUUCAGAUGAGAAGAACAUUGCAUAAAGCAUUUAAGGUAUGAUAAUACAGACUUUUUCUAGUUUUAAAAUAUACGGGACAUAACUUAAAAAAAUAUUUUCCUUCCUUUUUACAGGGAUCAAU
This 290-nucleotide small RNA is filed under the name Pongo abelii (Sumatran orangutan). RNAcentral's name for it is "retained intron". The record is from RNAcentral. Lineage: Eukaryota; Metazoa; Chordata; Mammalia; Primates; Hominidae.